This 443-nucleotide ribosomal RNA is filed under the name Enterobacter sp. RNAcentral's name for it is "bacterial SSU rRNA". It matches the Rfam family "Bacterial small subunit ribosomal RNA", at positions 819 to 1238 of the family's 1533-position model. The record is from RNAcentral. Lineage: Bacteria; Pseudomonadati; Pseudomonadota; Gammaproteobacteria; Enterobacterales; Enterobacteriaceae.
GGAAGGUGUUGGAAUUUGGGAAGUUUGGUUUCCCUUGAGGAGUGGGGCUUCCGGAGCUAACGCGUUAAGUCGACCGCCCGGGUUAGUACGGCCGCAAGGUUAAAACUCAAAUGAAUUGACGGGGGCCCGCACAAGCGGUGGAGCAUGUGGUUUAAUUCGAUGCAACGCGAAGAACCUUACCUACUCUUGACAUCCAAAGAACUUAGCAGAGAUGCUUUGGUGCCUUCGGGAACUCUGAGAAAGGUGCUGCAUGGCUGUUGUCAGCUCGUGUUGUGAAAUGUUGGGUUAAGUCCCGCAACGAGCGCAACCCUUAUCCUUUGUUGCCAGCGGUUAUGUCGGGAACUCAAUUGAGACUGCCAGUGAUAAACUGGAGGAAGGUGGGGAUGACGUCAAGUCAUCAUGGCCCUUACGAGUAGGGGUACACACUUGCUACUAUGGCAUAU